AUCCAGGUGAUGUGUCUCAAAUAGGAUGAAACACGCGUCCUGGAU
Schistosoma mansoni is the source of this 45-nucleotide non-coding RNA. The record is from Rfam. Lineage: Eukaryota; Metazoa; Platyhelminthes; Trematoda; Strigeidida; Schistosomatidae.